UAGCAACAAGUUUAUUGUUGUCAAUGGCCGCCACAUUCUAAAACAGUUUCUUUGUUGACAGUUCUGCUGUUACACACAAUUGUUAUUUUGUCUCUUUUUACAGCACAGUAAUAAAUAACUAACGCAAGAUGACGGUUAGCUUAGAAGAAUAUUUCCGCACGACAUUUGAGGACAAGCUCCUUGUAAAAAUGCCGGAGCGGGAAGAUGAUCACCUGACUCCGGCAACUCGUCUGCUUGAGAAACGUCGCGAGAUGGCCGAAGUAGAACAAGCUUUGGCUGCUCAGAAAGAGGAGUUCCAAAUGAAAAUGGAGAGUCUGCAACAAAGGAGGGAAGAACUAGAGAAGAAAGAAUACCAGCUGAAAGAAUCACUUCUGAAAUUUGAUAAAUUUCUAAAAGAAAAUGAUUCUAAAAGGGCCCGUGCUGUCAAAAAGGCAAAUGAUGAAAGGGAAAUGAAGAAGCACAAGGAUAAGGAAAUUAUAAAACUUAAAGAAGAUACUAGUAUUGUUCUCAAAGAGAAAGAAAAAUUGCAACGCAAAUUGGUGAAAUACGAAGUUUACCACAAAUACAUGGAGAAAGUUCUGGAGUCGGGAGAGGAGUUCCAUGAACUACGAGACAUCAUCAUGAGAUAUGACACUCUGACCGCCACACACCAGGAUCUUCUAGAGAGAGAACUACAGAAUCAAGAGUUCAUAGAGAAUCAGAGGCAGCAGUUGAUGAAAUACAGUGAGGGUAAAGACAAUGAGAUUCUUGGCUACAACAACCAGCUAUCCGGCCUGCAGACGAGACUCGACAAGGCCGAGAGCCUGGCUGUCAAGUGGGAGUCCAAGUGGACACACAUCAAGAACACAGCGGCCAAGAAAACCUUGUUACUGGGCAGAAUAAAAAUGGCUACACAUAACUUGUAUCAGAUUGUGAAGAAACACCAGAAGCAGGCUGCCACUGACGAAGACACAACAGAACAACUUCACCAGGUCUUUGUAUUUAUAAAAGAUGUCGACGUCAUCUUGAUCAACAUGAUGAGGGAUUUGAAGCAUACUUUGGGUGUUCGCAAGCAGUCAGAAAUUUAACUUUCAUCAAACCAUUUUUUUUAUUUAUCAUCCAUAAAUAUAAACAACAGAUCCAGACAUUCCUGAUGGACCUCAACCAGAUUACAGCUGAGAUCAAGAAGAUGGAACAGACGGGAACCUCCAUUAUUCCUCCUUCCUCCAGCUAGUACACACAGUCAGUCUCAUUGCUAGGUUGUCACACUUUGAACUUGUUACCAGUGUCCGCCCAGUGUCCAGCUAGCAGAACAAACAUAGGUCAUUUUCAUCCUUGGUCAAUUGUUCACUACAUUAUCUCGUGUCAUGGUAAUUUCACUACGGGAUAUAUAUUAAAAUGAUUAAUUUAGGCAUAUUCAGUGUGUUCAAUAGUAGACAUUAGGUGACAAUCUUCGGAUGCCAAUGCUACUGCUGCAGAUGCUGCCUAUUGUUCAAGAUUACAAUUGUGCACCUUACAUUAAAUAACGCUGUUUGCUUUUCUCAAAUGGCUUCCUAGUUUCUAAGAUAAUGCACACCCUGAUAUAAUAUAAAUGACCACAGUUGAAAGCGACAGAUGAGAAAAAGAUUGUGAAUGAUCUCUUAUACACUUGUGGCUAAACAUCAACUUUGACCUUUGUCAGCUAGUAGAUAUGAAAUACCAGCUGUAAUUCACUUACCUGGGCCCGUGCUUAUAAAACCUUUAAGAGUCCAGACUCAAUCUCUAAUGACGUCACACGCAUACAAUUUGUAUGGUGUUGUCAUGACAUUAGUGUCUCAAACUCUAUCAGAGUCUUGAGUCUAGACUCUAAAAGGUUUAUAAGCACCAGGCCAGUCUGUGUGUUCUUGUUAUUUGUUGUACUGUAAUUGAGUAUUGGCCUUCAGUUGGUUCUUGAAUUAAUCAUUUCAGUUAUCUGGCACUUAAUUGUCUUCAUUGAGAUUUCUUUUCUUUUCUUUAUUUAUAUCUUGUUUUUGUCUUUCUUUUUAUUAACAUUGGUAAAUAUCUGAUAUCAACAUCCUUUGAAUAUCAUAUGCAAACCUUUCUGCAUCAAUGUCUCAAGUUAAAUUUCUUGCACAGUAAUUAGUAUAUUCGUAAUGAAUAACGAGUAAUGAUAAAUUUAAUAGGCAUAAAAGCUAAUGGAAUUCAAAUUAAAUAAUUUGAAAUUCUUUUGUUGUUCAGUAUGUUUAAUUGAAAGUUUUAAAUUUUAUUGGUAAUGACUAAGGUCAGACCUAAAUUUAUUGGUCUUUGUUUUUUAGGAAGUAAAACUUUACAAUCCAUAGUAAAUUCUAGUUUUGUAGAUGACUGUUCACACACUGUUUUCAGUACUCAGCCUUGCUUUCCAAAGGUCUGCUGUUUUGUUAACAAGUUUGUUCUGGAGAUAUCUGUUAUUUGCAUUUGUUUAAUAGUUAAGGGGGAAUCACAUGAGUGUACAAUAUCAAAUACAAACAGCUUAAAUAAUUGAUUGAAACAUAUUUUAUUGUUUGAAAACAACAACAAAACAAAUGUAUUGAAAACAAGAUUUCCAAAUAACUAGGCCCUGUCCAUUCUAGUUUCUACUAUAUUAUGUACAUUAAUAUUUUACAAUAUGGAAUUUCAAUAAAUAAACAAGCGACAACAAAAGAAGAAAAAUUACAGUUAGUUUGCUAAUCUGACCGCAUGGUUCUGACAGGUAAAACAUAACAUAUAUGGUAUCACAGUUAUUAUUACUGAACCUGAAAAUGUGAUUUAUUGAAACCAUUUCCUUUCAUAACAUGAACAAAAUAUUACUUCAUUAUUUCCAUCAGUGAUUCAAGGAAAAAUGUCUGAUAAACACACACACACUGUUUAACAAUAGUGAUUGCAUAUGAGUUUGUAUAUGACAGUAGUACUCACUCUGAUCUCCCACCCCACCCCCCAAAAAACCCCAACACAAAGGUAGAGGACAACCAUCAAAUUGAUCUUUAGACAUGUGACGCUAUUUGUAACUUGUCAUUACCUCGAACAACCUGCAAUUUUGUUAAAAAUAGAACACAGUCUGUUCUAGUCAGCAUAUGAGCAAAUAUCAUGAUAUAUGUUGCACCUAUUUGACAGUACAGCAUUUUGUCAUCAUGCUACACAUUGAUGCAUGUGUGUGUGAGAUUUUUGUACUCCAUAGCAAUUCACGUUUUUUUAUUUGGUUUUGUUAUUUAAAACGACAAUAAAUAUCUUGCUUGCAUCAUGUUAUUUAUUUAAUAUCCUGGUUCCAGCGCUGUUUUAAUAUUUUCAAUUCUAAAUACACUCAGUUAUUUUCAGGUCGUAAACCACCCAACUCAUUUUCUGAUCAAGUUUAUUUCUUUAGUCUGUUUGAAUCAAAAGGGAACCGAUUGAAUAAUGGCAGAAUUGCAAUUACAGUUACUUUAUCUUGACUGUACCAGAUUUUGCCUUCAUCCCUGUAUAUAUAAAAGGAGAUUUACCCUAUGCAAUUCGAUGGCAAUUUGUAAAGAAAUUAACCUUUUUAUUUACCCUGAACAUUUUUGUUUAUGCAAGUUGGUGUGGGUUUAAAACUGAAUUGUAUGUUUCUAUAGAGGUUUAGCAUUAUUCAUUUUAUAUUUCCAUGCCAAUUCCUUGGUUCCCCUUUGAUGUAAACACUAUAUAUGUUUGCUCUUUUUAUUAGUGUACAUUGACAUUAUGAUAAUAAUAUUGUGGGUUUUUACAUUUAAUAUUAUGUGGCAGAAAAAAAACCGUUCUUCAAUGUGUUUGUAAAUAAAUAUUGUUACUGUU
RNAcentral lists this unclassified non-coding RNA (3756 nucleotides) under Gigantopelta aegis. RNAcentral describes it as "coiled-coil domain-containing protein 42 homolog, transcript variant X2". The record is from RNAcentral. Lineage: Eukaryota; Metazoa; Mollusca; Gastropoda; Neomphalida; Peltospiridae.